GAGUUUGAUUCUGGCUCAGGACGAACGCUGGCGGCGUGCCUAAUACAUGCAAGUCGAACGAACGGAGAAAGAAGCUUGCUUUUUUCAAAGUUAGUGGCGAACGGGUGAGUAACACGUGGGUAACCUGCCCAUCAGAGGGGGAUAACAUUCGGAAACGGAUGCUAAAACCGCAUAGGUUCCUUAGUUGCAUGACUGAGGAAGGAAAAGAGGCGUAAGCUUCUGUUGGUGGAUGGACCCGCGGUGCAUUAGCUAGUUGGUGAGGUAACGGCUCACCAAGGCGAUGAUGCAUAGCCGACCUGAGAGGGUGAUCGGCCACAUUGGGACUGAGACACGGCCCAAACUCCUACGGGAGGCAGCAGUAGGGAAUCUUCCGCAAUGGACGCAAGUCUGACGGAGCAACGCCGCGUGAGUGAAGAAGGUUUUCGGAUCGUAAAACUCUGUUGUUAGAGAAGAAUAAGCAUAAUAGUAAUCUGAU
RNAcentral lists this ribosomal RNA (475 nucleotides) under Granulicatella sp. canine oral taxon 095. RNAcentral's name for it is "bacterial SSU rRNA". It matches the Rfam family "Bacterial small subunit ribosomal RNA", at positions 9 to 470 of the family's 1533-position model. Lineage: Bacteria; Bacillati; Bacillota; Bacilli; Lactobacillales; Carnobacteriaceae. The record is from RNAcentral.